This 30-nucleotide non-coding RNA is filed under the name Mus musculus (house mouse). Lineage: Eukaryota; Metazoa; Chordata; Mammalia; Rodentia; Muridae. The record is from RNAcentral.
UACAAUGAGGGUUCCAGUGUGAUUUUCUGC